UGGCUAGGCCGGGGGGUUGGGCGUCCCCUGUAACCCGAAAUCGCCCUUAUGCGGGGGCCGAAAACUUGGGGGCGGCAUGCUCUCCAGCCCUUCCUUCCUAGACUCCUCGAUGAAGUCUCGUCCCGUGGGGCUCGGCGGUGGGGGAGCAUCUCCUGUAGGGGAGAUGUAACCCCCUUUGCCUGCCGAACCCCGCCAGGCCCGGAAGGGAGCAACGGUAGGCAGGACGUCGGCGCUCACGGGGUAGCGGGGCUGAGAAGGAGUCUGGGGGCGAGGAAGGGCUGGAGGGCAUGCCCACCCCAAGGAAGCCA
This 308-nucleotide signal recognition particle RNA is filed under the name Methanocaldococcus sp. FS406-22. RNAcentral's name for it is "SRP RNA; RNA component of signal recognition particle". It matches the Rfam family "Archaeal signal recognition particle RNA". The record is from RNAcentral. Lineage: Archaea; Methanobacteriati; Methanobacteriota; Methanococci; Methanococcales; Methanocaldococcaceae.